Long non-coding RNA from Bos taurus (domestic cattle), 425 nucleotides. The record is from Ensembl. NCBI's taxonomy places the organism in Eukaryota, Metazoa, Chordata, Mammalia, Artiodactyla, Bovidae.
CUGGAGAUCUGGAACUUGGAAUGUACCUGAAUUCUAGACUCUUCAGCGUUGAUUUCCACAGCAAGUCUCUGUUUGGCAGUAUAGCCAGGGUAAGGGUUUUGGCUGAAUGCCUGGACGAGGAUCUUCAACUGCUCUUCUGUGAACGAGGUACGGCUGCGCCUACACUGUGUCGCCAUGGUCUCUGGGGAGAGAGAGACCAAUAAAUCGGAGGAGAGAAGCAUUAAAUGGGCCAUCGUCUCUUCAACAUGUGGCUUUCAGGGGAUGGAAAAUCCACGCUUCAGGUGACCUAGGUCAACUAUAUAUGAAGGAGACUGAGGGUAGAAGACGACUCGGGAGUGCAGUAAGGCAUGUGUGCAGUGCAUCAAGAUGGGACUUCUGGUUUCCUUUUCAAGGACCCUGAGUAUCCACUGUAGGGAUGUGGGUUC